AGGGAAAUGGUUCAGUGGUUAGAGUGCAGGUCUUAGAAGCCUGAGGCCCUAGAUUUUUUUCCCUG
Molecule: transfer RNA, 65 nt
Filed under: Erinaceus europaeus (western European hedgehog)
Lineage: Eukaryota; Metazoa; Chordata; Mammalia; Eulipotyphla; Erinaceidae
Rfam family: tRNA
About the family: Transfer RNA (tRNA) molecules are approximately 80 nucleotides in length. Their secondary structure includes four short double-helical elements and three loops (D, anti-codon, and T loops).
Source: Rfam by way of RNAcentral